GCUUAUGUGUGUGUGACAUAAAGGCCUAAUGUGUCCAGCAUAUGCAUCUACAUCUCAGUCAUCCUGACAAUGUUUCACGGGCAGCCUGGCCUUUGCAUCCUGCCCUGCCCCCUUCUACCUGAUAACCUGCCAGGUGGAGAUGCCCGCCCCUUCUGCCUGACAAAUCUUCCACAAUCUCCCAGAUGCAGCCCAGUAUCUGCAUUUCAGUAUUACAGAACAGGCGGGGGUUAAAUCUCAUUUUCAUGGGGGUGGGUUAUGCGUGGCCCUAAAGAAAAAAUGUUGUUUUUAUGCUGACUGAACCGGGGUGGUUAAAAACUCCAUGGCCAAACUCAAAAAACGACUGGAAAAAUGGCAACGGGAAAGGAAAACUCAACAGGGAUGGUUUGAGCCAUGGUUCGGCCGGUCCCCAUGGCUUACUACUCUACUGUCAGCCCUAACAGGACCCUUAAUUGUUCUAUUCCUAAUUGUAACCAUAGGACCUUGUGUGUUAAAUAGACUCAUCACCUUCGUGCGGAAACAAGUUAAAAAUGUUAAACACAUGGUCAUAAGACAACAAUAUGUCACAUUAAAAGAUACAAAAACAAAUCUCUAAGAUUAGAGAUCCUCACAACAAGGAGUGGGGAAUGAAGAGUUAAAAUUGUAUAUGUGCAGGUGUAAAAAGUUAAGCUUAAGCUUACAGGUUUAAACCUUGCUGGUACAGCUGUAAAAAAAUAAGACAGAGUAGCACCUUGGCAGUAGGGACUCCAUUUUGGAGCACUUGAGACUGCAUUCUGGGAAAGCACCCCCCCACUGUGAGACUCUGGUCUGAAACUAUGAUCUCAAAUAGUCAGACAAUAGCAGUGCACUACAUCACCCUUGGCAACGCACAAAAACCCCCUAGCAUGACUGCUCAAGCUUAAAAGUAGAAAGGUUGCACCUGGGUUACCUGGGCUAAUAAUAAAGAUGUGAUUUGUCUGUGUCUUACAUUAAUGUCAAGUCCUAAUUGCUAAUUGUAAUAUUGUAACUGGUAUUGUCAAGAUUAUGAUAAAUAUUAAUUUCAAUUAGGUUUUAGGUUAUGUUGACCCCAGUAACCAUAUACUCUUUUGAUUUUAUGUACUCUCUUUUGAUUUUAGCAACUGUGUAUAGCAACUGUGCAUAGCAACCGUGUAUUCCCCCCUUCCCGGUUUUGUGGUUUUUGCCUUUAUAAACCCUAACCUUUGGUUAUUCGGGGCUGCUCUGUUCAUGUAUGGUCAGACAGCCCCAGCAUGCUGGAUAAUCAAUAAAGCUUCCCCUUGCUGUUUGCAUAAGAGAUGUCUCUUGGUGACGUUUUUCGGGCAGUCGACUCUAACAGAUAAGAGAAGACUACUGGAAAAUGAUAGCCCAAACUGAAACCUAUGGGAGAAUCAUAGGUUCUACAGAACCAUCCAACCAACCUUCACAUAAAAAAAAAAAUUCCAUGUGUUGUUCCUGAUGAGAAAAACAGGCCAAACUCAUAAGCUGAGGCAGUCGUAGAUUAUUCAUUUCUCACUUCAUAAGAUGAUAUCUAAGGUACAGGUAUUUUGGCACAGUUGAUGAAACCGUGACUUAGGAUGCGCCAUCUCUGACCUGAGUACUUGACUUUGAGUCUCACCUCUACUUCUGCUCCAGACGAUGGCUCAAGUUCUUGUGACCCUAUCACCCAUGUGGGUGACUUGAAAAAUUUCUGACUCCUGGCUUUCGCCUGCUCUAGCCCCAGCUGUUGCAGUAUUUGGGGAGUGAACCGUGAAUAGACGAUCUCUCUCUUUCUAGCUCUCUUUCCUUCUGUUAUGCUGACUUUCAAAUAAAUAUAAAUAAAUAAAUAAAUCUUAAAAAGAAGAUAUUUGAUAUGUUAAACACUAAAAUGUUUUCUGAAAGCCUUGAAAAUAGGAAUUUUUUUAAAAUGUGUUUUAUUUAUUGUCUACACAUUCAAUUCAGUUGCAUUUAAUGAACACCCAUUCAAUAUAAAUGUCAUUAUGUAGAAUCCCAAAAUAAAUAGCAUUUUCUCCUAACAUUUAAGCUUUGUUAAAAAAAAUUGUUUCUACUUGCUAAUUGCAUGGUUACUCAAAAAUUAAUACAUAUUUCUAGUAUGCAUUUUUAAGAAUUAAAGACAUUUACAUCUAAACAUUGUAUCUUUUCCACUACUGUAUAGAUAAGACCAAUAAUUAUGGAGUCUGAAGCUAACUCUUGCUUUCAAAGAAAGUGACCCAAGCCUGUUUCAGUCCCAGUUAAAAUCAAGCAGAUUUCUUGAAGAUGGAUGUGAAUCACGACUGAUUGGAUGAAAGCACAUUCUAGCAUCAAACUCCCUUUGAGAAGAAACAAGUGCACAAGUAGCAUCUGAGGAAGCUCAGAUGUACAAUGGUGAUAUAUAAAGUCAAAGUUAUAAAAAUCUGCACUUUCACCUGAACGUGGAAUGCAUGUAACAUACCUGAUAAGUUAGUGGUUAUGCAUACCCACCACUUUUAAAUAUGUAUAACCGUUUGCAUAUCUUCCUCAAACUUAAUGAAUAUGCAUGACUUUCUUUAAAAAAGAGAACCUAGGGCCGGAGCUGUGGUGCAGCAGGUUAAAGCCCUGGCUUGAAGCGCCGGCAUCCCAUAUGGACGCUGGUUCUAGUCCCAGCUGCACCUCUUCUGAUCCAGCUCUCUGCUAUGGCCUGGGAAAGCAUUACAAGAUGGCCCAAGUCAUUGGGCCCCUGCACCCACGUGGGGAACCAAAAAGAAGCUCCUGACUCCUAGCUUCGGAUUGGUGCAGCUCCAGCCAUUGCAGCCAUCCGUGGUGUGAACCAGCGGAUGGAAGACUUCUCUCUCUGUCUCUACCUCUCUCUGUAACUCUUUCAAAAAAAAUAAAAUAAAUCUUUUAAAAAGAGAGAGAGAGCCCUAUAAAACAGGUAACUCUUCAUUUCUCAGGGAACCAGAUUUCCCAUUAAGAUUCCAUUCUGCUUAUAGCAUGAAUUGUGGUCUUCGUGCCUCUAUUGGCUAUAUUGCCUCUAUUGGCUAGACAAGAACCUUGAGCAUUCUGCCCAAUUGCAAAGCUAAAGUAGCUGCCUAGGAAUUGGUAACCAUAUCUUUUGUACCUGACUUGAUAUAUUAAGAUAUUACAGAAAUGUCAUUAGAACAAUCUCUUCUUAGACAGGCAGAUGUUUGGCCUGACUUCACUCAUCUCUAUUUUUUGUCUUGUUUUUGUAGAUGUGAAAUAUUCAAUUCCAGAUGCCUGGUUCUUCCUGGUGUAACUUCUACAGGGGAGCAACAGAAUAGCUUCCUUCUAUCCUCUUAGGUUCUUUGAUUGGACCACUAAAUAAAUUGAUACCAGAAACAGUAGAAAAAACAUUUAAUUCUGUGCUUAUGCAUGGGAGUCCCACAAAACCUGCAGUUCCAAGAAGGAUCAGAUGAUUGAGCACCUCACCUAUGCCUUUCAUUAGCCAACACAUUUUGAAUGCAGCUGGCCUAAGAGCAUGAUGUGUGCAGGAGUGGUCCUCUCUGUGAUUGAGAACAGAACAAUACAAGGUCAAGGAGUGCAUAUGUUCGCAAAUAGUCAAGGACUGGAGUGGGGGAAGAUUUGAAUUCCUUGCCCAGCAUCACAGAGCAUUACAUUUCAUAGCAAAAUUCCAGGGAAAUUUGUGCUUACCACAAUUGAGAGCAAACCAGCCCCAGAAAACCUGUAAGGCAUUCAAGAGUAACAUCCAUGGAGAGCUGUUUGAAUAGCAUCUGGACAGAGUUUUAAUCAUCUCCACUUGGUCAACUUUACUGUGGUGAUGAACACAUAGAAGCUAUUUCAUGUUUAUUAUCUGGAGCAACGUUGAACGACUCUUUCUUCUUUGUGUAAUCUAUUCUCAGUGGCUUUCUUUUCAGCAUACCUUGACUUUAAAGGUGUUUAUAACCAAUCAUAUCCUAAGCACAGUAAUCUCUAACCAGUACAAACUCACCCUGCUUACCUAAAUCCUACUUUUUCAGGCCCAGCAAAUGUAAGUUUACUGUAUAAUAAUAAAUGAAAUGCUACUUUCAUGGAAUACAGAAUACAUAAAUACUGGCUGAAAUCGGAUCACCUUGGAACACAUCCCAAGGCUCUGUAAAUGUUUUUGGACUUGUGUCUCCCAGGCCUGUGUCACUUUUUACAGACAUUGCUUAUUGUUGCUGUCACUACAGAGAGAGAAUUCAUCUUCUGAGUAUGCUAUGAAUGGAAGGAAAGAAGUGAACCAGGGUCUGGGACCUCUAAGGCAUCUUCCAUCUGAGAGUAUGACUUUGUGUUUGUUAAAGGUAAGGCAAAUCUAGUGAGGCAGACAAGAAAUGACCACUUUCAGGCCAGCUCUCAGUUGAUAAAAUGUAGGUUUUUCUCCAUAUAAACUUUGCUUUCUGAGUAGACCUUGCAAACAGUAGUUCAUAUUUGACAAGAUUCUGUUUUCAAUUCUAGAAGCCUUUCCACUAGAAAAUAUUCCAAGUACAAGUGUCAAUGUAAGCAGGAAAGUUGCAAAGGUAGUAUCCCUCGGUGUGGUAAUGUGUUUCUCACCAAUCUAAAAAGUUAUGGGAUCAGGCAGGGAAAAAAAGGUAUUUGAUAGAGCAAAGGUAUAAAGUGUAAAAUUAGGUGAAGUUGAUUGAAUAUGCUUGCUGUGGGCUCAGUUGUGUCCACCUAAAAUCUAAUGUUGAAGUCUUCAACUGUCUUAGAGUAUAGCCACAUUUUGCACUAAAGUCUUUAAAAAGGUGAUCAAGUUAAAAUGAGGCUGUUUGAGAGAAGCCAUAAUUCAGCAUCACUGGUGUCCUUAGAAGUUGAAGAUAGCACAGGCGAGCAUGCAAAGACCAUGGGACAAGGCAGCAAGGGCAUGCUCAUCUGUAAGCCAAGAAGAGAGACCCUAGGAGAAAGCCCUGCUGCUGGUGCUUUGAUCUUGGGUUUCCAGUCUCUAGGAAUGUGAAAAAAUGCUGUUCUUUAAGAUAAUAAUCUAUGGUAUUUGGUUAUGACAGCCCAAGCAAACCAAUGCAAUACCAAAGAAGCAACUUCUGGGAAUCCUCAGAAUAUGAGUCUAUUGUCAGUACUAAUAAGGACUUGUUCUGUUGUAUAACACAAUAUGGCUGGACUGUUGGUACCAAAAUUUAUCCACUUGAAAGGUUAUCAGAGCCUGGGAAGGAUGAGAGAGAGAGAGAGAGAGAGAGAGAGAGAGAGAGAAAAUGGUUAACAGAUACAAGAGUGCAGCUGGACAGGAGGUAUAACCUCUAGCGUUCUAUAACACAGUGGGAUGACUAUGGCUUACUACCAUAAACUGAAUAUUUCAAAAGAGCUAAUAGAAUUUUGAGUGUUCCCAACACAAAGAAAUACUAUCUGUCUCAGGUGAUAGGUAUGUCAGUUACCCUGAUGUGAUCAUACACACUAUAUAUUGAAAUGCCACACUAUACCCAUUGAAUAUGUACCAUUACUGUGUCAAUGAAAACAGCUUUCAGAAAUAAAACACACUCUCCACUCGCAAUAAGUUAGAAUUGGGCAUGAACUGUAGCAUAAACAUACAUGUUUUCUUUUCUUCAUGGCUGUCCAUGUCAUUCACUAAGUAUUUUAUUGUGCGUGAAUUCGACAGUACUUCAGGGUUCUUACUGAUGAACACUGUUAUUAAAUAGACCACUUGUGGCAUCAUAGAAACCUUUGCUUUGAAUGAUUAUUAUUUUUUCCUUAUUGGUGGAAAUAAAAUAACCCCAAAAUAUCAGUACAUACAAAGCAAGGAAAGAAUUCUGAUCCUCACUGAAGUAGAUUUAAGAACACUUGUCACAGAAAUUGCUCAAAUCUAUGCUGCAAUUGGAAUGCUUUUCUCUGAUUAAUGUCUUAUAAACAUGUUUUGGCAACAUAGCAGACUUUUAGCAUCUGGAAAUGGAUUUUCAAAAUCUUUCCAUAUAAAGAGAAAUGAAUAGUCAACAUAGAAGAAAAUGGAUUUCUUUGGUUCACAUAAGAGACACAAUAUUGAAGAUUAGAAAUGCAUUUUGAUCCAAAAUAAAUAUUAAAAAAAAAAGACUUGGAGUUCAUCUCAGUCUGCUUUUUAUUACUGUAACAGAACACCUGAGAGUGAGUAACUUAGGAAGAACAGAAAUGUAUUGACUGGGGUGUCCAAGAUGGAGGGGCAGCAUCCGGCAGGAGCCUUCAUGCUGCUUCACCCCAUGGUAAGUGGAUGAAGCAGGCAGGGAAACAGAGGCAAAAAGGGGGCCAAACCCCUUGUCUUAUAAGGGAACAUUCUUUGAAAUAAGAAUGCGCUCUCUCGAUGACUCAUUCUUGAAGACCUAAUCAUCUCUCUUUAGGCCCCAACUCUCAACACUGUUGCUCUGGGGGACUGUCUUCAUUACAUGCAUAUUGGGGACACC
Non-coding RNA from Oryctolagus cuniculus (rabbit), 6323 nucleotides. The record is from RefSeq and is a predicted model, not a curated record. NCBI's taxonomy places the organism in Eukaryota, Metazoa, Chordata, Mammalia, Lagomorpha, Leporidae.